AAGUCGUAACAAGGUAACCGUAGGUGAACCUGCGGUUGGAUCAUUACCAAAUCCAAAACCGUGCUUGCACGGAGGGCUUCCCGCCUCCCGUGCGAUGCACACCCACCCCUUGUGCAAUCCCAACCGUAUUUGGCGGGCGCCCCUCCCUGAUCACGUCUCUCCUCUCCUCCUCCUCCUCCCUCCCACUAGCCUGGGAAGGGGGAGUGGAGGGGGGCGGGGAUGUGAGUGCCCAGGGGGGUGAGCCUUGCGGGGGCCCCGUGCCCCUGACCGCCAAGCAAUUUUUCACAACCUAUUAUCCUGUGCCCUACAAUCAACUGACGUCAACUCGUGUGUGUGGGUGUGUGUGUGGGAGCCUUCGUGCCCCCCCUCCACUCCCUCGCGCAUUAGAGCUUAACGAAAAAACAACUUUUGACAACGGAUCUCUUGGCUCUC
RNAcentral lists this unclassified non-coding RNA (432 nucleotides) under fungal sp. RNAcentral's name for it is "partial internal transcribed spacer region". The stretch from base 1 to 46 matches the Rfam family "Eukaryotic small subunit ribosomal RNA", at positions 1786 to 1831 of the family's 1831-position model. The record is from RNAcentral. Lineage: Eukaryota; Fungi.